Molecule: ribosomal RNA, 510 nt
Filed under: uncultured bacterium
Lineage: Bacteria
Description: partial 16S ribosomal RNA
Rfam family: Bacterial small subunit ribosomal RNA
Source: RNAcentral
GACGAACGCUGGCGGCGUGCUUAACACAUGCAAGUCGAACGAAGAGCGACGGAAGCUUGCUUCUAUCAAUCUUAGUGGCGAACGGGUGAGUAACGCGUAAUCAACCUGCCCUUCAGAGGGGGACAACAGUUGGAAACGACUGCUAAUACCGCAUACGAUCUAAUCUCGGCAUCGAGGAUGGAUGAAAGGUGGCCUCUACAUGUAAGCUAUCACUGAAGGAGGGGAUUGCGUCUGAUUAGCUAGUUGGAGGGGUAACGGCCCACCAAGGCGAUGAUCAGUAGCCGGUCUGAGAGGAUGAACGGCCACAUUGGGACUGAGACACGGCCCAGACUCCUACGGGAGGCAGCAGUGGGGAAUCUUCCGCAAUGGACGAAAGUCUGACGGAGCAACGCCGCGUGAGUGAUGACGGCCUUCGGGUUGUAAAGCUCUGUUAAUCGGGACGAAAGGCCUUCUUGCGAAUAGUGGGAAGGAUUGACGGUACCGGAAUAGAAAGCCACGGCUAACUACGUG